GACGAACGCUGGCGGCGUGCUUAACACAUGCAAGUCGAACGGAAAGGCCCUGCUUUUGUGGGGUGCUCGCGUGGCGAACGGGUGAGUAACACGUGAGUAUCCUGCCCUUGACUUUGGGAUAACUUCAGGCAACUGGGGCUACUACCGGAUAGGAGCUCCUGCUGCUUGGUGGGGGUUGGAAAGCUUGGGCGGUUGGGGAUGGACUCGCGGCUUGUCAGCUUGUUGGUGGGGUAGUGGCCUACCAAGGCGUUGACGGGUAGCCGGCCUGAGAGGGUGACCGGCCACAUUGGGACUGAGAUACGGCCCAGACUCCUACGGGAGGCAGCAGUGGGGAAUAUUGCACAAUGGGCGGAAGCCUGAUGCAGCAACGCCGCGUGCGGGAUGACGGCCUUCGGGUUGUAAACCGCUUUCGCCUGUGACGAAGCGUGAGUGACGGUAAUGGGUAAAGAAGCACCGGCUAACUACGUG
Molecule: ribosomal RNA, 468 nt
Filed under: uncultured bacterium
Lineage: Bacteria
Description: partial 16S ribosomal RNA
Rfam family: Bacterial small subunit ribosomal RNA
Source: RNAcentral